UACGAAGGGGGCUAGCGUUGUUCGGAUUUACUGGGCGUAAAGCGCACGUAGGCGGUUUGUUAAGUGAGAGGUGAAAUCCCAGAGCUCAACUCUGGAACUGCCUUUCAUACUGGCAAGCUAGAGUCCGGAAGAGGUGAGUGGAACUCCUAGUGUAGAGGUGGAAUUCGUAGAUAUUAGGAAGAACACCAGUGGCGAAGGCGGCUUACUGGUCCGGAACUGACGCUGAGGUGCGAAAGCGUGGGGAGCAAACAGG
This 253-nucleotide ribosomal RNA is filed under the name uncultured bacterium. RNAcentral's name for it is "partial 16S ribosomal RNA". It matches the Rfam family "Bacterial small subunit ribosomal RNA", at positions 524 to 776 of the family's 1533-position model. The record is from RNAcentral.